This is a transfer RNA of Melampsora larici-populina 98AG31, 83 nucleotides long. It matches the Rfam family "tRNA". Rfam says of the family: Transfer RNA (tRNA) molecules are approximately 80 nucleotides in length. The record is from Rfam. Lineage: Eukaryota; Fungi; Basidiomycota; Pucciniomycetes; Pucciniales; Melampsoraceae.
GGGGUGUUAGCUCAUUUGGUAGAGCGCUCGCUUCGCACGGUUGCAAUUGCGAGAGGUCCGGGGUUCGACUCCCCGAUACUCCA